This 438-nucleotide ribosomal RNA is filed under the name Thasus sp. CMF 0292. RNAcentral describes it as "partial small subunit ribosomal RNA". The record is from RNAcentral. Lineage: Eukaryota; Metazoa; Arthropoda; Insecta; Hemiptera; Coreidae.
AAGAUUUAUAAUCUAUAAUUGAGAUUGAUUUUGUCUUUUAAAAUUGGUUUUAUUUGAUAUUUUUAAAUAUAAGUUUUUAUGCGGGUUAUUUAAUUAUCUUGAUGAUAAUUUUAUUAAUUAUUUGUAGUUUUUAAUUUUGAGUUAAUGAAUUAUUUUAUGCUCAGUUAAUUUUUUAAGAAUUGUGCAAAAUUGUGCCAGCACACGCGGUUAUACAGUUGAAUUCAAAUUAAUUUUUUUGGGAAAUAUUAAUUUAUUUUAUGUUUAAAAUUUAAUUUUUAUUAUUAGGUGAAAUUUUUAAUAAUUGUUAUAUUUUUAUGGUAUAGAUUAUAUGAAAUUUGGAAUUAAAACUAGGAUUAGAUACCCUAUUAUUCUAAAAGUAAAAUUUAAUCCAUGCUAUUAAUAGUUAAGACCUUUAAAUUAAAAAAAUUUGGCGGUAAU